CCUACGGGAGGCAGCAGUGGGGAAUAUUGGACAAUGGGGGCAACCCUGAUCCAGCAAUUCUGUGUGCACGAAGAAGGUUUUCGGAUUGUAAAGUGCUUUCAGCAGGGAAGAAGAAAGUGACGGUACCUGCAGAAGAAGCGACGGCUAAAUACGUGCCAGCAGCCGCGGUAAUACGUAUGUCGCAAGCGUUAUCCGGAAUUAUUGGGCAUAAAGGGCAUCUAGGCGGCCAGACAAGUCUGGGGUGAAAACUUGCGGCUCAACCGCAAGCCUGCCCUGGAAACUGUCUGGCUAGAGUGCUGGAGAGGUGGACGGAACUGCACGAGUAGAGGUGAAAUUCGUAGAUAUGUGCAGGAAUGCCGAUGAUGAAGAUAGUUCACUGGACGGCAACUGACGCUGAAGUGCGAAAGCUAGGGGAGCGAACAGGAUUAGAUACCCGGGUAGUC
RNAcentral lists this ribosomal RNA (443 nucleotides) under uncultured Leptotrichia sp. RNAcentral's name for it is "bacterial SSU rRNA". It matches the Rfam family "Bacterial small subunit ribosomal RNA", at positions 338 to 795 of the family's 1533-position model. The record is from RNAcentral. Lineage: Bacteria; Fusobacteriati; Fusobacteriota; Fusobacteriia; Fusobacteriales; Leptotrichiaceae.